ACCUGUACAAUCUUUUCUCUCUCAAAAUGCUCCCAAACACUCAAACCCUAUUCGUCUCCCUCGUCUUCUCUGACCAUUAUCUCGCCGGAGUCCAUGGCUUUUCAGGCCAUGGACGACCUGUGCUCACCUUCUUUCACUCCUAAGUCAUGGUUGUUCGAGAUUUUGAGGUCUGACCUCGAUGGAUUUCAUUCAGAUCUUCUCAUAUCUGUGGUUCUAUGGCAUCUCCGACGUUGCUCCAACAUAUUCGAGCUUUAGAAGCCUAGCCAUGGCCAUCUCUGACUCAAGAACAGACCUCUUCCAAGACUUCUCAUUUCUAGGGUAUUAGAGAAACCCUAAAGCUAUUCGAGGUUCCUUCCUCUUUUAUUUACUUAGAUCUGUGGUGAAUCUGUGCUAUAUUCAACGUUUUAAGGCUUUUCCCCAAUUUUCUUUUCAAAAUUAGUUUGUUUUCAAUUUAGGGUUUCCGAAAAUCUCAAAAAUGACUUAUCUCUCUUCUUCUUAUUUUCUUUGUGUGAAUCUCUAUAUGCCAUCUUCUUAUGUUCUUUCCUCGCAUGUCUGCUCAAGUGUUCUUAUGUUUUUGCGAUAUUAUGCAUGCUCUUCUAUUUUGUGUUAUGUUCUUCCCUCUACCAGUUUCUAUAAGCACGCUUCUACAUGUCUAUCUCGUACGUUCCUUUACUGUAUUUUUUACUAAGCUUUUAAUCCUUGUUUCUCUAAGCAGGUUUUCGUCUACUGUUUUUCCUAAACCUGUAUCGAUUUUCUAUCCUAAACUUGUUUAAGUGACAAGUUUUGCCUCAAUGUAUUCCAUGUGUUUCAAACUUACUACUCUCUCUGUUUGUUUUCUCAUAAGUCUCUGAAAGAGACUACAGAGACUGUUCUGUCUGUUUUCUAAUCUACGCAUCUAUGUCGAGUCAGAAACCCUAGUAUUUGGGGUUUUUUGUAGGCUUGACUUUGUGUUUGGUCUAGGGUUCCAUUCAGAACCCUUAACUCUCUUCCAGACUCAUUCUGAGUCUAUGAACCUAACCUUCUUGGUCACUCUGAUUUCUUGCUAGUUUUACGACAACUCUCUCUUGUCGCACAUGUUUGUAUGCUUUUAAUAUAACAAAUUCUCUUCUUUCAAAGGCCUUUGGCUAGCUUGUGAUUGAUUCCCGAGUUUCUUUUUAAAAGGUUUGAUUAUGUGUUGUUGAUUUUCUUUAAACCUUUUGCUGGUUGGAUUCAUUCACACUAAGAUUCGAAUCCUGAUUUUACUGGUUGUUGAUUGUUGUCUUUCCUUGUCCAUCCCAAAACGUGUGCUAUUAGACUAUUUCCUUAAAUAAACUUCUGUGUGUUUGUCCCUAUAACACUAUUUUAGAAAAGAUUUUUCAUAACAAAUCCUUUCCUUAUUUAUUCUGCCGGUUUGAUUCAAAUCCCUUAACCAAAGGGAAAUAGCUUGUGAUUGAUUUCAAAACUAUUCUCUUACCUUUUUCUUACUCACCUUCUACAUUAAAAAGGGUAUGUCGCUUUGCACUAAAAGACAUAUUUUUCACGUGCUUUUACAGACUUUUCUGCAUAAAAAUACAGGCUUUUAGACAAUCGAAUACUGAGUUCUUUCACAAAAAAUUCUACUCUCUUCUUCUACUUUGUGCAUUCUGAAACAAUUGUGAGCUCUCUUUCUAAACUCUCAAGUGUUCUGCUGAACUUUAGUCUACUCCUGCUGUGUUCACUUGCCGUGAUUGCUCUGUUGUUCUGCUUUUUUUACUUUGCAAUUGGUACUUUAUUCUUGCUUAAAUAAUGCUUCUUCACUAUGUGUUUACUUCCUAGUCUGUUAUGUUCUUCUUUACUAUGUUUCUGCGACCAUGUUGUGCUUUUCUUAUGUGAACUCCCUUUCCCUUUUCCCCUUUGUAUGUGAGCAUAGUUCCAGUCAUAGCAGCACUUUAAUAUUGUUGUCAAUGAGCUGUUGUGUUUUUCUUAUGUGAACUCCCUUUCCCUUUUCCCCUUUGAAUGUGAGUAUAGUUCCAGCCAUAAAAGCACUUUGAUAUUGCUAUCUAUGACUCUGAACUUGGUUCAUUGAACCCCUAGCUCAAUCAAUGCACACUCCCUUCUCCCCUUUAUGUACUUAAGCCUAGACUUGAGUCUGGUGGUGUCCUAAUCACCAUCCAGACCUAGGUUUUACCCUCAAAGGUCUGCUUUAAACUUGUUUGACCAAACAAAUGGUCAGGGGUAUGCCAGUCUGCACCUGUGGCUGGGUAUAGCCACCAUUUGUUAUGGCUCCCUAAUUCCUUUUCACUUUGGGACCCUGGAGCUCCCUCUGAACAUGGAUGCCUGAGGGCUGGCUAUUUCGCACCGCACUAUUCUAAUUUUAAAUGGUAUCCUGAGUGUAAGCAAUGCUGGGAGUCCUUGAGAUUCCUUGGAACUUUGAAACACUUUGGAUAAAGAGAAGGCUUUGGAAAUCUGGAUUCCGAAAUUGGUUAAUCACAUUUUAUUGGACAUUAAGAUUGGAUUAGGCAGUUUGAAUCUAGCUGUUAGUUUUUGAUGUAUUUUCUUUCUUUCUUUUGGUCUGUAAUAAUUUGUAUAAAAGAAC
Molecule: long non-coding RNA, 2554 nt
Filed under: Nicotiana benthamiana
Lineage: Eukaryota; Viridiplantae; Streptophyta; Magnoliopsida; Solanales; Solanaceae
Description: long non-coding RNA (NBEN_LNC041978)
Source: RNAcentral